GAUGAAGAACGUAGCGAAAUGCGAUAAGUAAUGUGAAUUGCAGAAUUCAGUGAAUCAUCGAAUCUUUGAACGCACAUUGCGCCCGCCAGUAUUCUGGCGGGCAUGCCUGUUCGAGCGUCAUUUCAACCAUCAAGCCCCAGGCUUGUGUUGGGGACCUGCGGCUGCCGCAGGCCCUGAAAACCAGUGGUGGGCUCGCUGUCACACCGGGCGUAGUAGAUUUUAUCUCGCUCAGGGCGUGCUGCGGGUUCCGGCCGUUAAAAAGCCUUUUUUACCCAAGGUUGACCUCGGAUCAGGUAGGAAGACCCGCUGAACUUAAGCAUAUCAAUAAGCGGAGGA
This 336-nucleotide unclassified non-coding RNA is filed under the name soil metagenome. RNAcentral describes it as "partial contains 5.8S ribosomal RNA, internal transcribed spacer 2, and large subunit ribosomal RNA". The stretch from base 1 to 120 matches the Rfam family "5.8S ribosomal RNA", at positions 35 to 154 of the family's 154-position model. The record is from RNAcentral.